Molecule: transfer RNA, 74 nt
Filed under: Streptomyces xanthophaeus
Lineage: Bacteria; Bacillati; Actinomycetota; Actinomycetes; Kitasatosporales; Streptomycetaceae
Description: tRNA-Pro
Source: RNAcentral
CCGCACAUCGCGGAGCUGGCGAUCGCCCGGGGUCUGGGGUACUCGGAGGCCGAGUUCGACGCCCUGUGGGCGAA